GACGAACGCUGGCGGCGCGCUUAACUCACGCAAGUCGACCGGUGAAGCGCCUUCCUUUUUGGUGGGUGUGGCUGCGUGGCGAACGGGUGAAUAACACGUGCGUAACCUGCCCCCUUCUUCUGGCUAACCGCAUGAAAGUGUGGCUAUUCAGCGCUAUCCUGUGUCCGUCGCAUGAUGGUCCUGGGAUAGAUAUUGUUUCGGCGGCGGAUGGGCUCGCGGCCUGUCAGCUUGUUGGUGGGGGUUUGGUCUACAAUGGCGGUGAUGGGUAGACGGGCUGAGAGAGUGCACGGUCGCACUGGGACUGAGACACGGCCCAGAUUCCUACGGGAGGCAGCAGUAGUGAUUAUUGCACAAUGGGGGCAAGCAUGAUGCAGCGUCGCCGCGUGAGGUAUGGAGGCCUUCGGGUUGUGAACCGCUUUCGCAAGUGAAGCGGUACUGCCUCGUUUGUGGGUGGGUUGACGGUAGCUGGAUGAGAAGCGCCGGCUAGCUACGUG
Molecule: ribosomal RNA, 494 nt
Filed under: uncultured bacterium
Lineage: Bacteria
Description: partial 16S ribosomal RNA
Rfam family: Bacterial small subunit ribosomal RNA
Source: RNAcentral